CACACAGGAAGCCCUCGGGCACGUCGGUGAAGGAAAGGUUGCCGUACGCGGCCAGCACCAACCACUGAGGAGGAGAAAGGACAUACAAGACACAAGGGUCACAAAUAUGAAGGUGACACCAUUCACCCUGCGGCUGGCUGUGGCAGGACAUAGGAACUCCCACAGCUCCUCAGCACGACAGCCUUCCCCUGCUGCACUCACCCGCCGCCCUGCUAAGUCUGCAAACACCAGCAUAGCUUGUGUCUGUUGAUCUUUUCCCAGGAACAUCUGUAUGCACUUACACACAUACAUACAUGAGCGCGAGUCGAGCUGUUGUGUCUGGAGGCAGUCACUGAAGGUAUGCAGGAGGUGGAUGUUGUCACUGGAGGAAAGUUGCCGUUCCACCCAGCCCAGUCCCCGCAGCAGCCCAUCCACCCUCACUCCAUC
This is a long non-coding RNA of Scylla paramamosain (green mud crab), 426 nucleotides long. RefSeq lists it as uncharacterized. The transcript has 3 exons. NCBI's taxonomy places the organism in Eukaryota, Metazoa, Arthropoda, Malacostraca, Decapoda, Portunidae. The record is from RefSeq and is a predicted model, not a curated record.